This is a long non-coding RNA of Trachemys scripta elegans, 2101 nucleotides long. RefSeq lists it as uncharacterized. NCBI's taxonomy places the organism in Eukaryota, Metazoa, Chordata, Testudines, Emydidae. The record is from RefSeq and is a predicted model, not a curated record. The transcript has 5 exons.
AAGGGAACUGGAAGCAGGCAGAAGGGGGUCUGGGGGCGGAUCGUGGGCAGGGCCACGCCAGGCUGUUUGGAGAGGCACAGCCUUCCCCUGCCUAUGCUACCCACUACCCAUGAUGAUGGAUCCCCAAAUUUAAAACUGAACUUAAGCAGCUGAGUUUCCUGGUUUGGAGUCUGUGAGAAUUCAGCACACAGAGCAGCAGCAAGACGAGGCACAAAGCUUGCAUCUCAAACAGGUUUACUCCAAGGAUGAAUCUGGCCUGCUAGGACUAUGGCAAGAAAGACCAUCUGCUUUCCAAACCAGGCAGCAUCUCCAUAGCAGCACAUCUCCUCGGAGACCCACAUUCAGAGUUCCUCUGGACCUGAUCUUUUAUAACUUCACUGUGGGAAUUAGCAGUUGGACCGCGUCUUCUGACUGGAAUGAUGCCUUUAGCUCUGCCUCAGACAUCACCUUCUCUAGAAGACAUGAAGACUUCCUAGUACACAGUCAUCAGAGAAAAAAUAUCCAUGCAGUAGCUGUUGGCACUAAUUAGCUGCUUUGGUUAGUUGAUUUGAAUUAAUUUACUUUAUUGUGUGAGUGUUGCUAGGGUGCUCGGUGGCUAUUCUAGUGGAUUGUAGCACUUAGGCUUUGUCUAUAUUGCAGCCUGGACCAGUUACCUAAAGGUGACAUUUUAAACUGAUCCAGUUAAAAUGAUGCCAACCCUGUGUGGGCACUCUUAAUUUGAUUGUCUGGUUUAGCUGGGUUUAGCUUAACUUGAUAUGGAACUGAAUUAAACUGACAAACCAGAUUUAGAUCAAAUUAUGAGUGUCCACCUAUAGCUUUGCAUCAUUUUAACUAGAUUGGUUUCUCACUUGAUUUAACGUUAAACUGCUGUACCUUUGAAUACAGAAAGGCCUAAAUGUCAGGACACCAGGAGCUCGUGUCCAGUCAUGCUCAUUGUCAAGCUGUGCUACCAUGGCUCAAGAGCAUGGGUGCCAGCCUCUGUGCAGACUGUUGGGGAAACAGGUCACAAACCCCCAAACUGGCUGGGAGUUCUAUACUUAGAUUUCACCAACCAAUUAUCAAGUGUAACUCCUCAGACACUGUAACAGCCUAAAUAUGGAGUCACAGACAGUCCCAUUGGGUACUCUGAUCUGUCUUGUCACCCGGGUAAGCUUACCUUUGUGACAGAUGGCCCAUUACAUCAAAGAUCCCAGCAAUAUUCAGGUUACUCCCAGUCCCAAAGGAUCUGUCACUCACCCCAGGUUAAUUGCACUUUAGAUUUCACACCAAAGAUAACACCUGUAGUUUAUUAUAGACAAUCCUAUCUAAAGAUUGAUUAUCAAGGAAAGCAAAUAAGAGAGUUUUUUACAAGGUUAAAGCAUGUAAACAUAUAGAUACACAAACAAGUUCCAGUCUUAAGCUUCAAAAGGUAAUAAAAGCUUCUAUAACAAGCAAGCUCUAUAUGUCUUUUAGAGCUAACCCAGGCCAAACACUGGGGAUCGUUGCUUUUACCUAGAAAACUUUGCCCUUGAGAAUCCAAGCAGCAUAGAAUCAUAGAAAUGUAUGACUGGAAGGUACCCCGAGAGGUCUUCUAGUCCAGUCCCCGGCACUCAAAGCAGGGCUAAGUAUCAUGUUUAUCUAGGUAUCUGAUAAUUCUGUUCUUUACUAAGUUUCAACCAAUUUGCCUGGUAGUAAACUUAGGGUUCUAUCUGAAUAAAUCAUAUAGACUUAAAUCUGGCAAGAGAGAAUCCUACCAAGUCAUAAGGAAGCUUGGCAAAGCAGUCCAGUCUGGUGAUGGAAGAAUUCAAAGGUUUUGGAUUCUAACCCUUAUUUCUAGGCUCCAGAGCCCAUAAGUGCCUUGACUGGAUCUGACAAAGCAUUCUUUAUUUUUUUUAUGCCUUCUCAUCAGAAACAUGCUUUAACAACUCAUUCCUCAGCUGCCCAGAAAUCUCAAACACACAAUCUUUAAUUUCAUCACAAACUUCUUUGAUUUGGCAGCAGCUCCAGAGACCUUGCUGACUUUUCUUGGCAUUGGAGAGACUUUCUAAAAGUCAGGAACCAGUUGGGGGCCAGAGUCAAUGAUCUUUAUUUAAACAGAACUCCCAUUGAUUUUGAAAGCUUA